CACUACAAAACACCAAGUUGACUCUUUCUCAUCAGUUUUUCUUCUUAGUUUCAUUAUCUCCUCCUCUCUUCUUAGUAUUCAUUUCUCUAUUCCUCUUCUAAAAAUUAUUCUGGGUAUAAACUCUAUCAGAGUUUCUUGCUAGUUCUAUGAUCCUCAGAAAUUUCUGAGAAGUUCCUGGUGUAUCCUGGGGGACUUACACAAUACAGCAGAUAAGUUCUUAAGGACAGUGAUCUACAUGCCUC
This 242-nucleotide long non-coding RNA is filed under the name Vigna radiata. RNAcentral describes it as "long non-coding RNA (VRAD_LNC006868)". Lineage: Eukaryota; Viridiplantae; Streptophyta; Magnoliopsida; Fabales; Fabaceae. The record is from RNAcentral.